Molecule: ribosomal RNA, 433 nt
Filed under: uncultured bacterium
Lineage: Bacteria
Description: partial 16S ribosomal RNA
Rfam family: Bacterial small subunit ribosomal RNA
Source: RNAcentral
AACGAACGCUGGCGGCAGGCCUAACACAUGCAAGUCGAGCGGACCUUUCGGGGUCAGCGGCGGACGGGUGAGUAACGCGUGGGAAUAUGCCCUUCUCUACGGAAUAGUCCUGGGAAACUGGGGGUAAUACCGUAUACGCCCUUUGGGGGAAAGAUUUAUCGGGGAAGGAUUAGCCCGCGUUGGAUUAGGUAGUUGGUGGGGUAAUGGCCUACCAAGCCGACGAUCCAUAGCUGGUUUGAGAGGAUGAUGAGCCACACUGGGACUGAGACACGGCCCAGACUCCUACGGGAGGCAGCAGUGGGGAAUCUUAGACAAUGGGGGCAACCCUGAUCUAGCCAUGCCGCGUGAGUGAUGAAGGCCUUAGGGUUGUAAAGCUCUUUCAGCUGGGAAGAUAAUGACGGUACCAGCAGAAGAAGCCCCGGCUAACUCCGUG